UAAUGCUUGGGAACAUGCCUUGAGGUGGGGGACAACAGUUGGAAACGACUGCUAAUACCGCAUAAUGUCUACGGACCAAAGGGGGCUUCGGCUCUCGCCUUUAGAUUGGCCCAAGUGGGAUUAGCUAGUUGGUGAGGUAAUGGCUCACCAAGGCGACGAUCCCUAGCUGGUUUGAGAGGAUGAUCAGCCACACUGGGACUGAGACACGGCCCAGACUCCUACGGGAGGCAGCAGUGGGGAAUAUUGCACAAUGGGCGCAAGCCUGAUGCAGCCAUGCCGCGUGUGUGAAGAAGGCCUUCGGGUUGUAAAGCACUUUCAGUCAGGAGGAAAGGUUAGUAGUUAAUACCUGCUAGCUGUGACGUUACUGACAGAAGAAGCACCGGCUAACUCCGUGCCAGCAGCCGCGGUAAUACGGAGGGUGCGAGCGUUAAUCGGAAUUACUGGGCGUAAAGCGUACGCAGGCGGUUUGUUAAGCGAGAUGUGAAAGCCCCGGGCUCAACCUGGGAACUGCAUUUCGAACUGGCAAACUAGAGUGUGAUAGAGGGUGGUAGAAUUUCAGGUGUAGCGGUGAAAUGCGUAGAGAUCUGAAGGAAUACCGAUGGCGAAGGCAGCCACCUGGGUCAACACUGACCCUCAUGUACGAAAGCGUGGGGAGCAAACGGGAUUAGAUACCCCGGUAGUCCACGCCGUAAACGAUGUCUACUAGAAGCUCGGAACCUC
RNAcentral lists this ribosomal RNA (720 nucleotides) under Pseudoalteromonas sp. TB25. RNAcentral describes it as "bacterial SSU rRNA". It matches the Rfam family "Bacterial small subunit ribosomal RNA", at positions 111 to 833 of the family's 1533-position model. The record is from RNAcentral. Lineage: Bacteria; Pseudomonadati; Pseudomonadota; Gammaproteobacteria; Alteromonadales; Pseudoalteromonadaceae.